Gossypium raimondii (Peruvian cotton) is the source of this 128-nucleotide non-coding RNA. Lineage: Eukaryota; Viridiplantae; Streptophyta; Magnoliopsida; Malvales; Malvaceae. The record is from Rfam.
GGUGGAGAGCUCCAAAGGGAUCGCAUUGAUCUAAUGUUGAUAUGGAUUGUUGAAUCAAGUGUCAUGGUAUGGUCAUUUGUUGAUUCAGUUUGCUCAUUGGAUCAUGCGAUCCCUUCGGAAUUUUCCAU